UUUCCCCCUCUGUCGUCUCUCUCACUCCACGCACAGAGAGUUUUCACUCCAUUCCCAGGUAAGUCGACCCCUCUUUCUCUCUCUCUCUCACACACUCACUCACCCGAUCGAUCUCCUCUUUUUGUUUUUGAUUUCCCAAAAAACUUCGAGUUUUAGGGAUUUUAUACUGUUUCAAACCCUAGGUUUAAAAAAUUAGUGUUUUUCUCUUGAUUUUAUAGUGUUUCAACCCACCUAAAAGGGGCUUACAGUCUUCAAGAUCCAGCAUUGAUGUAAACGCCAGUCGGGGCAAAGUUUUCGACCAUCAUUAACAUAUUAUAACCUGAGUAGUUGUUGAUAUAUUUAGCUUGACAUCUAAUAUUAUUGAAAAAGUAUGCUAUACUGUAAGUCUUUUUAUUUUUUUAUUUUUUUAUUUAUGAAAUAGAUCUCUGCUGUUAGAGUAUGUGGUUUUGAUAUUUGUGUCUUGUGUGUGUUAGUGAAUUAAGUGAUGGGUGAGGAUUUGGUAGAGUAAUAAUUAUUCCUGUUUGUCUUUAAUGGAGUACUCAUUCCAUUGAUGAUCUUGAAAGUUUGGUAAAUGGUUAACUCAAAGGCUUUUUAUAAGUCUUCUAAUAUUGACUAUGGUAGGGCCUUCCUUAUAGAGUGAAGAUUACUUUGAACACAUUGAAAUUUGCUUAGAUGAGUUUCUUGUUUAUGUACGAUAAAUAUGUAUAGUUUUUCUGUAAGUUCUUAAGCAUUUGUAAUCACUACUGUUAAUCUCUUUUCUGAAUGAAGGCGUGUUUUGCUUUCUAGUCACAUUUCUCUUACUUCUUUCCUAUGAAGGGAAAUUAAUUGGUUGAAAAUGAAUAAUGUUGUUUCCUGCUGUAUGCAGAAUUAUGGCACUACUUUGGCACUCUUCAAAUGGACCUAAAGUUAUCACAACAAUUAUUGCCUAAGUAUGACCAUCCAUAACUUUACUCAAGACCAGUCCCUUAUUCACAUCCAUUUCAAAUAUCUUAGGUGCUUAUGCCUCAUUCACUUAUCUUAUGUUGCUAUAUAAGUAAUUGUUACUUAUCAUUUGUUGAGAUUAUUUAUUAUUUCAUUCUUUCAUACUUGUAUUUUGUAUUAGCCAUUAGGUAAUUAGUUAGUGUUAGUAAUUGUACAACUACUAUGAAUAGGACAUUAACUUUGUAUUUCUUUUUUUUUUCUAUGAGUAACAAUAAUCAGAUUAGCUCCUUCUUUCUAGAAGGUUCAUUUCUCUGUCUGCCUCUCUCUCUCUCUGGUUGUGCGAUCUGAUCUGCCAUUAGAGCUCAAACUGAGCUCACCUCUUCCUCUUCGACUAUCCCCUAACUUUCACAUGGUAUCAGAGUGGGAUAACAACCUGAAGUCUCAUCUCCUUUCGAUUUUUCAUUCUUCUACUCACAAAUUCAGGAAUUCACUCGUUUUUGGAAAUUAGGGUUCCUGUGUGGAAAUCGAUCAAUUAGUCAGUUAUUCCUAGCAAUUCAUCUUCACCGAUAACCAUUUCAUCCGAGUCAAUUCGAAUCAUGGUCGGAGAAGACGAAGCCCCAACAACCCUAGCGACGAACAAAACCCUAGAUUCAAUAAGUCCACUAUACAUGCAUCCAUCGGAAAGCGCUGGAUCUAUGCUAGUUCCGAUAGCCUUUGACGGAACUGGUUACAAAUCAUGGAGAAGAGGAAUCCUCAGAGCAAUCUCCAUGAAAAACAAAUUAGGGUUUAUUACCGGAAAAUGUAAGAAGCCAGAUUCUGAUUCGGCAGACCUUGAUCAAUGAGAGCGAUGCGAUGAUAUGUAACUUAAUUGAUCUUAAACUCACUGUCUAAGGACCUAGUGACAGUCUGCAAUACAUCAAUGAUGAUGAAGAGCUUUGGCAAGAGCUAGAAGACAUAUACGAUCAAACUAAUGGCGCCAAGUUGUAUCAACUACAAAAAGAGAUUAAUGAUCUGAGCCAAGGAAGCCUGGACAUCAUUAGAUAUUAUACAAAAAUUAAGAAGCUUUGGGAAGAACUUAAUACCCUGAAUGUUCAUGCCAAAUGUGCUUGUAAAUGCACCUGUGGAGCAAGAGAAAACAUUCAUAAAGCUGAACAAGAUAGAAGAUUAAUUCAGUUCCUAAUGGGGCUCAAUGAAGUGUAUACUAUUGUGAGAAUGAGUAUUCUGAUUAUGAACCCUCUCCCAACAAUAGUUCAAGCCUUCUAUAUUCUCAUUCAAGAGGAGAAACAAAGGGAAGUUAAGCCAAGUAAUAGUUUUUCAAUGGACUCUGCUGCCUUGAAUGUGAGUGGAUCAGGAAAUGACAACUUCAAAACUAACUACAAUCAACAGGGAAACAACAACACCUACCGUGGAUAUAAGGAAAACCAAUUUAACAGCAGAUCUAGACCAUUCUGUGACUACUGCAAGAGGCCAAGGCACACUAAGGACAAAUGCUACAAACUUCAUGGAUUCCCACAGAGUUCCAGGUUCAAUAAGGGAAGAAGAAUUGCUGGAAAUGUAUUUGGAUCACCAAAUGAAGCUGAUGCAGUAAAGGAUGAUGGAAAUAGCCCUCAAGAACAGGAACAGAGUUGAUACAUGCAUAGUCUGACUAAAGAACAAUAUGGCCAACUACUCACCAUUUUGGAAAGCUUUCAAGGAGGAGCAGAUAAAUCCACAAGCAAUUGCAUCAAUGGAGGAACUGUGAACUUUGCAGGUAUUUCAGCAUGCUCUACUCAUUUUGACUCUAGUGAUCAUUUGUGUGAUAGUUCUAGUUCAAAUGCUGACACUUGGAUCCUUGAUUCUGGAGCCACAAAUCACAUGACACAUAACAAAUCAAUCCUAACUAAUGUUAAAACCUUAGUUUACCCAUACCUAGUCACCCUACCAAAUGGCUACAAGGUUAAGGUGACACUGAUUGGUGAUGUAGUCCUAAGUCCAAAAUUCAGUCUCAAGAAGGUCCUUUUUGUUCCCAGUUUUAAAUUCAAUAUGAUAUCAGUCCAUUCUUUGACAGUUCAUCUUGAUUGUAUUGUAGUAUUCACCAAGUACAUUUGUAUUCUUCUACAGGGCCCUUCACUGAAGAGGCCACUGGAGAUUGGUAAAGCCAAGACUGGUUUGUAUCGACACAGUUCAAGAAACUACAACACUGGUUCAACCCUCUCUAAUUCUUCUAGUGCAUCCAUUCCAUGUUUUACUAAUAAUGAGAACAAUAUAGAUUCUGUAGUUAAGACAUCUAGCUCACUUCCUUCCUCUCAACUAGUUAGUACAAGUAAACUGGUUUCUACUGUUCCUAUUACUUCCAUCAUGGUUACCCCAUCUUAUAGUAGUAAUAAAAAUAGUUGACCUCCACAUUCAGAUUACUCUGUAAAUAGUUCAAGCAAUAAAAGUGAGUUGUCUUUGUCUAGUAAUUCCUUUACUAUAGAAUUUUUACCUGAUCUUUUGGAGCAUAACAGAUUAGGAAAUGUACCUUUUGUCAAAAUGAAGGGGAUUUCUUCUAUACUUGUUGCCUUUGCACCCAAACAACCUUUUCUUUGUCCUAUCUGUCCAAUGGCAAGACAAACCAGAUUGUCUUUCCCAGAAAGAACAACAUUGACUACCAAACCUUUUGAACUGUUACAUAUUGACUUGUGGGGCCCUUACCAUGUUACAACACAUAAUAAAUACAAAUACUUUAUUACCCUUGUGUAUGAUUACAGCAGGUCCACAUGGACCCACUUAUUAAGCUGUAAAAGCAAUGCUCUACACACCAUUAAGGCCUUUUUUGACAUGGUAGAGCAACAAUUCAAUACCAAUAUCAAAACUAUAAGAACAGACAAUGGUCUUGAGUUCACCAGCCAAGAGACCACCUCAUUCUUACAAUCAAAGGGCAUUAUACAUCAAAGGACAUAUCCAUACACACCUUAACAAAAUGGUGUGGUGGAAAGAAAACACAAAUAUUUGUUAGUAACAGCCACGGCUCUACUUUAUCAGUCAAAAUUACUCAUGUAGUAUUGGGGAGAAUGUAUUCUGACCUCUACCUACCUCAUAAACAGACUGCCCUCUUCAUCACUCAAAACAAAAUGUCCCUUUGAACUGUUGUACCAGAAAAAGCCAAGCUAUUCUCAUCUCAAAAGCUUUUGUUGUUUGUGAUUUCCUACUACUCUCAAAACACACAAAGAUAAGUUUGAGCCAAGAACUACUCCCUAUGUUUUUGUGGGAUAUCCCUUUGGGACAAAAGGCUAAAAGGUACUAAAUCUGGCCAUUAAGAAGAUAAAUGUUUCAAGAGAUGUAGUGUUUCAUGAGAAUGUAUUCCCAUUUGCCAUGUUCACUGAGUCAAACAAAGUCUUUCCUUCAUUUCCUCAAAUGAAAUCAUACCUGUCAAAUGAUUUGUUUUCUCCUAGUGAUAUAGGUAGUGUUCCACAUUCAGCAAAUGAUAAUGCUCACCAUGAAGUGUCACCUGGGAACCAGCCCAGGCAUGAGCCCUACUCACCCCCAUCUAAUCCUUAUAAUGAUAAUUCCAGAUCUUCUCACUCACCUUUGGGAAGCCAAACAUCAGGAAGCUUUCCUGUGGUUGACACUCUAGGAGAUACCUCUCCUGAUGCACCUCACAACCCAGCUGUUAUAAUCCAAGAUCAAGGAACUUCAAUUCCAAAUCAGAACAGACCCUCUAGAACUUUGAAAAUUCCUACCUAUCUUAAAGAUUAUGAGUGCACUCUUCCCAGACUCCAACAAACUCAUCAAAACCAACCAACUUCUCCAAAUGAUAGCCAAAGUACACAGUCUUUUUCCUGCAACACAUCUGCCCCUAAAUCUCUUGAUAACUUACCCAAUGAAACACAUUCCACUUGUUAGCAUUUGAUAGGAACUGGUCCACAUGAAUGUGAACCUAGCUCAUAUAAGGAAGCUGCUGUAAAGCCUGCCUGGCAAGCAGCAAUGAAUCAAGAAUUCCAAGCAUUGUAUGCAAAUAAAACCUGGGAUCUAGUUCCUCUUCCAAUUGGAAAGAAUGCAAUUGGGUGUAAAUGGGUAUAUAAGAUUAAACAUAAGGCAGAUGGUAGUGUAGAGAGAUUUAAAGCUAGAUUAGUAUUAAGGAGUAUACACAACAAGCUGGGAUAGAUUACACAGAAACAUUCUCACAUGUAGUAAAAAUGACAAUUGUUAGGACUUUAAUAGCAACAUCAGUCAAGAAGGGGUGGCAAGUCUUGCAGCUAGAUGUAAAUAAUGCCUUUCUUCAUGGGGAUCUCCAUGAAGAGGUGUAUAUGGAGAUACCACAGGUCUAGUUGUGAACUCACCAGGCUUAGUGUGCAAGUUGAACAAGUCCCUGUAUGGGCUCAAACAAGCAAGUAGACAAUGGUAUGAGAAAUUAACUGAAGCCUUGUGUUCAAGGGGUACACUCAUUCAAUGCUUGAUUAUUCUUUAUUCUAUAAAAAGAGUGAAGUCUCAGUAGUGUUUGUAGCUGUGUAUGUAGAUGAUGUUCUUGUUACUGGUACCCAUCUGCAAGAGAUUGAGUCCCUGAAAACCUUUCUACACAAUACCUUUAAGAUAAAGGACCUAGGGAGACUUCAUUACUUCCUAGGACUAGAAGUUCAAUACACAGAGAAAGGGGUCCUGAUAUCACAAAGAAAAUUCACUAUUGAUCUUUUGAAAGAAUUUGGAUGUAUAGAUUGUCCCUCUAUGACCUCUCCUAUGGAUCCCUUUGUGAAAUUAAAGGCUGAUGAGGGAGCUUCACUACCUGAUCCUUCUUAUUAUAGGAAGUUGAUUGGCAAACUUAACUUUCUCACCAACACCAGAUUGGAUAUUGCAUAUAGUGUACAACAUCUCAGUCAAUUCAUGCAAAGUCCCAGGGAACCCCAUUUGAAGGCAACAUACCAUAUCCUAAGAUACUUAAAAAGUGAUCCAUACUUGGGCAUCUUCCUCAACAACACUGCAGAUUAUGGAGUGAAGGCAUUCUGUGAUUCAGAUUGGGCCACCUGCUCCCAAUCAAGAAAAUUAGUUAGUGGGUACAUUGUGCUGUUUGGUACCAGUCCUAUUAGCUGGAGGUCUAAGAAGCAGUCUACUGUUUCACUAUCAUCUGCAGAAGCUGAAUAUAGGUUAGCUAGAAUGGUGGUUAGUGAACUUGUAUGGUUGGCAAGACUUCUAAAUGAACUUACUAUUCCAUUUGUCCUUGCCUAUCCCCAUCUUCUGUGAUAGCCAAGCUGCUUUACACAUAGCAAGAAACCCUGUGUUUCAUGAAUGAACAAAACAUAUCGAAGUGGAUUGUCAUUUUGUGAAAGAUCAACUACAGGAAAGACUAAUUUCUCUUCAUCAUGUUUCUACUAAUGACCAGCUAGCUGACAUCUUGACCAAGUCUUUUUAACAGGGAUCAAUCAUGCCACACUUCUUAGCAAGUUGGAUGUGAGGUCCUCCCCUCCAACUUGAGGGGGGGGGGGGGUGUUGAGAUUAUUUAUUAUUUCAUUCUUUCAUACUUGUAUUUUGUAUUAGCCAUUAGGUAAUUAGUUAGUGUUGAGUAAUUGUACAACUACUAUGAAUAGGACAUUAACUUUGUAUUUCUUUUUUUUUCCAAUGAGUUACAAUAAUCAGAUUAGCUCCUUCUUUCUAGAAGGUUCAUUUCUCUGUCUGCUUCUCUCUCUCUGAUUGUGCGAUCUGAUCCACCAUUAGAGCUCAAAUUGAGCUCACCUCUUCCUCUUCGACUAUCCCCUAACUUUCACAUCACUACUAAGUUGUUGCUUUGAGGAACUUGAGAAAUAUUUAAGUAUUAUUCAUGUUAUCCUGCUUUGUUCUCAGAUAAAUAUUCUUUUUAUAGUCUUUUUGGUUUUCACCUAAUUAGAAUUAUUAGUUUGAGAUAUAAGCGAUAUGUAUUUGUUAGAUAAGUUGUCAUUUUUCUUUACAUAUCGUGGCAGUGUCAAUGUGGUUGCAAACUUACAUUCUGUCAAAUUAUUCAUUCUUUGACUUAAGCUUUUCAUAUGAGCUUCUUUUUAUUAUGUAUACUUUCCUCAUUUGCCAAAAUACUUUAAAACCUUCUCAUUACCAGUUAUUGUUGAAGUUAGUAAAUAUCCUGAUUUGUCAAGGAGGUAAAGUGAUAUUGCUUUAUCACUUUGACUCCCUAUGACAGCUAUGACAACCUUUGUUAGAUAUGAUCAAGUUUAUAAGGUCAUUUAUUUAUAAUUUUGUUUACCGUGAAAAUGGUAACAAUAAUUAAAUUUGUAAAUGGAAUUCUAAAAAUACGUGAUCUAUUUCCGAGCUAGUUGUUAGAGUAGUUGAUGCUAAUAAUAUGGAGUUUAAAGAUUAAAUGCGAGUUGAAAUAAGGUAGCAAUUGAACCGAAGGGCCUUCAGCCCGGGUAUAGGCCGGGCCGAAAGGGGACCUCGGGGUCGAGAUCGAACUAUCGGGGGUAGUAGGGGAUGGGAUAAUAGUUGAGCAUAUAAUUAAACAAGGCUCUUUAUGGACAUUACGAAGUUAUAUGAUGAACAACAAGUAAGAAAGCGAUGAAUAUCAAGGUGAACUCGGAUAGUGAGAACGAACAAGUUUAGAAAGAAAAGAGAGAAAGAUAUUAUUGCACUUAUGGAGAAAUGGAGCAACAUCAUCCCGUUACAAGGUAGCGUGAGUCCCCUUUAUAUAGGAGGGGAACUCGCUACAAGCACAUGGGUAUUAAUUACAAAGUAUGGAGAUGGGACGGCUUGACGCGAUGCCUCAGCAUAGGCUCUGGAUAGGCCGCCCCUGUCAGACUUAGCCGUAUGCCUUGGGAGCUUCCCCUUCUGUCCUGGCUUCGAUCUCCAUCUUCUCUGAGUCGGGCCUCGACGAGCCCCGAGGUCGGGAACUCGGCCAUAGUUUCCCGUCCUCAGGGUCUCAAGGCAUUCCGAAAUGACUUGACAACGAGAAAUCAAGUCCUCUGAUUUUGCUGCGUACAGAUAGUCUCUACGUUUCCCAUAACAAAGUGAUGGGAAAUGAUUCUGAUACUUGACUCCUCGUGCUUCUUACUGCGAUGUCAUACCGAUGGUACGACUCCUAGUGUGAGUUUUAUGAUAGCUGGGCAUCCACGGGCUCAUGUAUUUUGACCUCAUUCAAUGCACUCUCGAUUCUCGCUUUCUAAGGUGAAGGUAUCGCCAUCGGUUCGAUUUUACAUGGAUGCAUUAACUGCACCCGUCGAUCAACCUUCCAAAGCCUCGACGACCGCAUCGUAACCCCCUAUAAAUAGGGGCGCUUUGGCGUUGUUUCUCCCAUCCCAGUGCCUUCGUUGGUCUGCUCGCCUAUUUCCUCUUAUCAUCUUCCUUCAUCCUUGAAUAUCACGCUUAGGGCUCAUAGCCUCAAGCCCGCUUGGCAGAGCUUCUUUAGAUCGUGUUGCAUCCCUCUGCCGGCGCUUCCCCUUGUCGAGCAUAAUUACGCUAUCCCGUUACUGCUGCGGUCAUCGACGUACUUGUCUUUGCUGCUGUUGUUGACCCGAGAUGAUGAUGGACGGGGAGUCAGUUUCCUCCUCAUGUAGAUAGUCGUUCGGAUUAGGCAUCGCUGCUCACCUUCAUGCCCCGACUCGACGUGGUUCUCUGCUCCGAGUUGGGGGCUUGCACGUCUAGACGUUCCAAUAAGUGGAUCCUAAGUAGCCGUGCAAGUGGGAUCGAGGGUUGUUCGAUCCAUUGUCUUUUCAAGGUUCCCCUGGCCAAAGAGGGUCCUCGAGCUUCGGAAAGCUAUGGCAUUUUUUUAUCCUUCCCUGUCACUCACCUUGUCCCUUGGGGAUAUCAGUGUGGAAGGUUGGGAUGAAAUUUCUGAGGAUGUGCAUCUGGAGGCACCUGUCGCGGACCUUCGAAGGCGAACCGGUCUUCGUGCCUUUACUUUGUGUGUGUGUGCCUUUGUCUCUUCUUUUAUGUGUAGAGAUCCUCCGUAGGCUUUUGUAAUAGUAUGUAAUGACCCCUCGAGAGCUGUUGUACAUGGAUCUUCAUGAAUAUGAAUAUACUCCAUUGACUUCUGCUUUCGGCCUUUGCUUUGUUAUUGCAUGCUCCUGUGCCCUUCGAGGCUUUUCGAAUGUCUUAUUUUAUUGUUGACCGCUGACAUUUAACUUGGGCGUGAGAGUUCUUUCCGAUCCUCUGCCGAUCGACAUGCCUCUCUUUCGAACCCAUCGUCGUGCCUCGGACCAAUCCUGGAUUGAUCUGAUAGGCUCGGGCUGCCGGGGACCUUCAAGUUGUUUGGAGAUAAUACGCCUAAUUUCAGGGCCUUCGAGGAUGUUAUCCUGAAUGAAGGUCAGCUUUAGGUACCUGGGGGUCCCUUUUGAUUUUGAUGUAGACAGCCCCUUUUAGAACGUAUAUGAUAGACUUCUGCUGAGGAGUUGCUUGUAUUUGGGCGCUACCUCGGACCAUCGUAGAGCUUUCAUGAUCAGAGCUUGUGUUUAUUCCUCUUUUUUUAGAAAGGGAAUCAUAAGAUUAGGUACUGCCCUGCGUCGAGUGAUGGUGUCGAAAGCUUCCCGAAAUCUGACUUCUCUUUGGCGGGGAUCGUCGGGGUAAAGCGCUGCCUCGAAAUAGGAGAUAAUACGGUCAAUUCCUUGAGUCUUGGCUUCUUGUCAGAGGAUGCUUUUGGGACCGGGUAUCACCCCAUCGAUCUGCAUCGAGGAUGUAGGUUUCUCGGGGUUCACUCCUGGUAGGCGAGUCGUCGCUGCUUCUCGCAUAUAUGUGGGGCAGCUUCGGCUUCUUCGCAAGACCUCACUAUUUUUAGAUAGCUGCUCUUCCGCUUUGGAAAAGUGUUGGCGCAUGCCCUUGCUCUGAUCUGUUAGUUUUAUUAUUGUCAUGGUAAACACUUCGGGGUCGGCCCGACAGGGAGUGCCGCUCCCGACGUUCAGGAACCGCGGGAGUUCGCUCUGAAGAUGAUGUCUUUGAUAAGAGGGGAACAUCUGGAGAUGGUAAGAAAAUACUGUGGAUGGAUCAAGGGGAUAGUGCUGCAGGUGCUUCCCCCGGAUGAGAGUAUUACAGACUCUGCUGAUUGAUUCUCGAGCGUAUACCUAUAUCCUUUCUCGUUUGGUCCCCUUGAUAGGGUUGUGCUUGAUUUUUUCUUGAAGUAUCGGGUUACUUUGGCACAGAUACACGUUUUGGCGGGUGGUGAUGACGACGAGGUUCUUUGCGAAGAAGGCUAGGCUGGAGUUCAUGCUUAACCAUCUCGUCAGGCUAUACCGACCCUUUCAUCACCAGUGCCUGCUAACCCUGAGGUGUCUUUCGUCCACGCAGUUUGUAGUUGACAACAAAGAGGAUAGGGGUUGAGAGUGGGCCGGUUGGUUUAUCCGGGUCUGGACGGUCGACAUUAUCCCCGUGGAGCUUUUGCCAUUUCUCGAAGGGUGGAAUUAUGCACGUGAGUGGAGCGUCUAGUGCUUUUUCAGAUUUUGCUUAUAGCAAAAAUCAGUUGAUUAAUAGUGUUUUUUCCCUUGUUGCAGCAACUUCAUGGACACCGGGCGAAGUCUUUGACCUGCCCGGCUGGGUCCGAAGGCUGGUGACCCAUUCGACCUGCGAUGAGCGUCGAUGGCGAGUUGUGCUUCGUAUUAUAUGAGGAGAAAAAUACCAAGGUUUGUGCGCAUGCUGCCUUUACUUUGGCCUUCAUAUAUUUGAGGUAACAUUUCCCCCUGUCAUUUAUACUGGAUUCGCCGCUUGCAAAUAUCGACGGUUCCUUGGGAUGAGGCAGUGCUCUUUCGAGGGAAAUGAGUCGUCGGCCCUCGAGCCGAGGGACGAUGGCGAUGAGAGUGAUCAGCACCCGCGAUGUGAUAGAGCUUUUAGUGGUGCUGAACGAGCUCAUGUUUUCGAGGAGAAGCCAUCGUCCGAGUCUGCUGCUCCCGAAAUAUCUGAUUCCUGGGCGGCGAUUCCUCCGAGUGAAUACACUUUGCCCGAGGUCAGUUCUUCUGGGGCUGAAGAGGCAGGAUCAACAGGUGUGUGUUCUGACUUCGAGGAAGUCCGUCGGCUUCACUUCGUGGUGAGUUUAGGUGCAUUUUUUCUAUGUUCCGUGUCCUAUUCCCUCUAUUGAACUUUUCUUGUGCAGGCUUGCGAUAGGCUUAUGUUUGAGCUGCUUCGUCAAGGGGCCAGGCUUCAGAAAUUUCUGGAUGAGGGCGAGCCCCUUAGGCUCCUAGCAAGGAGAAAGAUGUUGAGUUGCAGCAUUGGUGAUAUGAGGCGUGGUGGAGCUCGAAUUAUGAGAGCUAUUUGAUGGAGCAGGUAACUUUCUGCAACUCUUGCUUUGCUCUCUUUGGCCUUUAAGGUUAACCCCAUUUUUGUUAUAUUAGCUACAGAAAAGACGGAGGCUUUGGAGUACCUCAAGGACGACAUCGACCGCAUUUGAACUGACUAUGGUGAGCUAAAGGCUCAGGUGCAAGCUCAAGAUUUAGAGGAGACAAGCGCCUCGGCCAAGGUCCCCGCCUUCAAAGUCCAACUCCGCUUGGCUCGUGAUAAUGCCAAAGUUCAAACGGAUAUGAUCGGGAAACUCGAAUCUGACCUCUCAAAAAUUAGGGCUGAGAUAAUUGAUGCCCAGGUUGAAGCGGCACUAAGCCGAACCAAGGCUGAUCAGGAGAUGGUGAUUCGUAUGAAAGACGCUGCGGACGCUCAAGCCGAGCGGAAGCGAGCCCUCGACUGGGAGAAGAGGAUCGAGGAAUAUGUUUGUUGCAAAUCCCGAAGAGAAGUACUCGAGGAGAUCAGUGCGAGGGGCUUUGUUCUCUCAAAGAUGUUGGCUCGAGCAAGGGCGGACGAGCGUUACGCGUGGUCACUUAUUGAUGAUGAGGUGAAGAGCGAACUCAGCAAGCUAUAGCCCUUUGGAGCGGAGCAUAGAUUUCGUUGUUUUGUCACUUUGUAUUUGAUAGAUGUAGAGCAUGUAUGUAGAUGGAGAGUGUGCCCCUAUUUUUUUUUCUUUGCGUAUGUAAGAUAAGAGGAAACUUGAAGCUUUAUUUCUUCCGCAUCUCUUUUCUGUUAUUGCUUUUGACCAGGCGGGCUGGUUUCAAUGUUUGGCGGGAUCCUCGUAGGUUCAAAACUGAUCGGACAGGCCUGGGGGCUCUUAAGUGCGAUCCUUGAUGUGAGCGAGUGUUGGGGCCUCCGUACUUUGCCCUGCUGUUUAGGCUUAGUCUCCGAGUCAGGCUUUGACUCGAGCUUUCCUGCCCUUAAAUCACCUAUGCCCGUGCUAGCAUGUAGUAAUUGUUCCCAUUUCUUGCCUUUGGGCAUUUUCCCUUUCGACCAUUUUUGGGUUCAGUCUCUGAGUCGCAUUGCAAUUCAAGGUUCAAAUUGACCCUCAAGUUUUAUCCUACCUGCAUGGGCGGACGGCGAUGGCCUUUUGUGCUUCAGAUCGAAGUGACCUUACAAGUGGGUGGCCUGGAGGCUCACUCGGCUGGUGAUGGUGGCAUUUAUGCCGUGCCCUUAGGCAUAUUGUAGUUUAACCAUUUCGAGUCCAGUCUCCGAGUCGCAUUGCGAUUCGAGGUUCAAUUGACCCUCAAGUUUUAUCCUGCCUGUAUGGGCAGACGUCGAUAGCCUUUUGUGCUUCGGGUCGAAGCGACCUUACGGGCGCGUAGCCCGGAGGCUCACUCGGCUGGUUGAUAGUGGCAUUUAUACCAUGCCCUUAGGCAUGUUGUAGUUUAACUAUUUCGGGUCCAGUCUCCGAGUCGCGUAGCGACUCGAGCUUUAAUUGACCCUUAAGUUUCAAUUUCCAAGCUGGCGACAAUGGCUCUUACACUGUUUGGUCGUAGAGACCUUUUAAUAUGUGGCCCGAAGGCUUGCAUAGUUAACUAUAUUGGAUCCGGUCUCCGAAUCGGGUUACAAUUCGAGCUCAUUUUAAUCCUCAAGUUAUCGAUUUUUUAGCUGGCGACAAUGGCUCUUAUGCUGUUUGGUCGUAGAGACCUUUUAAUAUGUGGCCCGGAGGCUUUCUUAGCUGGCGACAAUGGCUCUUAUGCUAUUUUUGCCCAUGGCUUUUUUGUAGGCUUUGUUUUCCGCUCAUUAAGGUCUUUUGAAAUAGUUUUACCUAACCCAUCGUCGGUUCUAGAAGAACCUCAAUUUCAAGUCGUUAUCAGCGAUGUUUCGAGCACCUCGGAAGGUUCAUAGCUCGUUUUUGCCUAUUGAGGGAAGCCUGUUUUAAUCAGUUCUUUCUGAAGUAUAUUUGUAUUAGUGGCCUACGAUUUUGUUUAGCGACGGUCGGGCAUCCCCGAGUUGCGUUAAUUUGGCUGUAUCAGCCGUUUUGACCAUAGUCAUAUAUGUUUGAUCGAUCCAUUUUUGAUCUCGAGUGAUAGUUCAAGCAUCUACACCGAGGGUAUGCCCUUUCGGGACUCUUACAAAUGCGACGUAUAGCCUGAACUUCAGGGUUUUCAUGCCUGUUGAGGUCUUACAGUUUGUCAUGCCUGUUGAGGUCUUACAGUUUUUGUUGUAAUGUAGAAUAAAAUCUGGUUACGCCGCUGUCCGCUAGGGGUCUUACAGUUUUGGGUUUUUCCAGAGCAUGGCGAUUAAUGACAGUCUCUGAGGCACCGAGUUUGUUUAAGCUUGAAAACCGCUUCUCGUGAGCUCGGAGUUGACUUGUAGGGGCUUUAUGAGCCCGGAGUUCCGACCUUGGGGUCGUGUGGGUGCUGAAUUGUUGAUGUUGAGUCUCCGAGUAGUUCGGGCUACAUUUGGUAGAGGGGCCCCCUGUCGGUGGUAUAUUUUAAAUUUCCUUGUUUGGAGAAUAAGAUGCUGAAAAUAUAUCCUUUUAUUGCUUGGUGUAGACAUAUAUUGUUUCAUUAUUGUGAGCUCGGCUCGUACGGGCUUGGCUUCUCGGACCAUUCGAUCCGGCACAUAAUUCCCUAUCGAGACUUAUGUCCCGCCCCGAACCUAGGGAGGCGCGGUUGACACCCGGUGCCGUAGUGGCCAGAGCGAACCACUCUGUAACUCAUUCGUUCUUUUUUAUAACUAUCAUGGGCAAACAUGGCCACAACUCAUAAUAUAAAAUUGUAAGUGGAAAACACUGUAUCACUAAACCAUUUUUCUUAAAAUAUGAAUACAUAUGGCCCGUUAAGGCCUCUGACAUACUAUACAAAUAGAACCUUGGUCUACAAAGCCUCUAGGAUUAUUUGACAUAAAAUGGGAUAGGGUACCGGCCUACCCACAAGUCUGUAGAAAAAAUCUGACACGAUGACUCAUAGACUCGGCUGCACUCCGAAUGAGGUGGAGUCUUACCGAUCCUUCACUAAAUGCAAACCUUGUUUACUGUGAGGGAUCAUCAAACUGAUUGUCUAUACCUACGGGCAUGAAACCAGCGUCCCCAACAAAAGGACAUCAGUACGAAAUAAUGUACCGAGUAUGUAAGGCAAUAUACUGAAAGCUGAAACUGAACUGAUAAUAUAAUAACUGCAAGUAGCUGGAAGUCAAAAAUAAUCUGAAGAUAUGCUUACCUGCUAAUACUGACUCAACUCUCUUAAUAUAGUAAGUAAAAUAACUGUCCGACCCAAUAAGGCUCGGUAUAUAUAUAUACACUGCUCUGCCAUAGUAGGCUUGCUCAUAUGCACUCAGUCAUACUAGGCUCUGUAUCUCGACCAACUGGGCUCGCUCAUAAGUGCUCGGCCACAGUAGGCUCGGUAUAUAACUUACCAUCUGAUCAGAGGUUGCCCAAUAGGGGCCUGCCCAUUGAUUAUAGCUCGAUGGUAAUGAAAAUACUUUUAAUACUGUAUAUAUGUAACUUCUAUGCUCUCUUGACUGGAAGGAGGAAAUACUCAACUGAAUAUCAAAAUUCCGAUAAUGAGAAUAUUAUACUUACAACACUAGAAAAGUAUACGCAANNNNNNNNNNNNNNAAGAAGANCUUAGCCUUAACAUACCUGAGUCGAUUCACUUAACAAUCUCUCAUUUGUAAGCAAUGAGCGUACGGGUAACAUCAAGCGUGAUGCAGCAUAACUUUGUUAACAUAGACAUUGUAAACGGUUGGACAGCAAACUCUAACCCUGUGAUUACUAUAUCUUGUACUUCAAAAGCUUCAUGAACCAAAAGAUAUAAGCUUAAAGAGGUAUUUCACAGUCCAACCAUUGACACUUCUUUUUUACUAUGCAAAUUCCUAAAUAUAUGCCAACUUCUACUAAUAACGCAUCCAUUUCCGAAAGUAAUCUUAUUAAGACACAAAUUGUAGUGAGCGAGAAGAGCUCUUCUGAAACUAAAAUUAUACUUCAGUGUCAUUCAGUAUUUCAAUUGAAACUAAACAACAAUUGUUAAACUUACAACUAGUUAUCAUUAGAAUGUCCAGGGAAGGAUAUACUAUUGAUGAGACCCAAGACAAUAAGCACAACCUUCACCCCUAGGAAAAUGUAAUUAUCGUGCAUAUCAGAUGAGUUUAAAGUGGUGAGUUGAAGAGUAAUAAAUAUAUAUUUCAUGGUAACAAAGGUAUAAGCAUGAGGUUGUGACAUAGGUGUUACAUGUUAGCCACACGUAAGUUUUUUUUUUGGAAGGAGGGCCUGCCACGUUAAAGUUUCAUUAAUCUUAUCUAAUAAUUAACUAAUUAGGUAAUAUCCCGCUACCCGGUAAUUAACCAUAUACCCGCAUAAUUAAAAAUUAUCUCAACUUACUUAAAAUACUACUCUCUUUUAACAUACCUUGUACACCUUAAUAGCGUGGUUAUGUAGUACCUUUUAUGGCACUAGUCCAUAAAUAUCGAGUAUUAACGCUCAGCCCGUAUUUUAUCCCAAAAUAUCAAACUUUGACAAAAUUCAUUUUAUUCGAUUUUACUUACCUCUUACCUUUAUGAAUUUACUCAUCACUUAUGAUCCUUAUAAUCCCCAAAUAAUCUUUUCCUUGGACUGAUGUCAAUUACCUUAUAACAAAUUCAAUGUACAAUACUACAGGGUGCAACACUAUCGUAACUUAUUACUACGAAGCGUAACAUCUCCAUAAUGUAAUACUGCAGGACGUAACAUCAUCGUAAUAUAUUACUGCAGAGCAUAACAUUGUCAUAAUAUAAUACUGAGGGGCGUAAUAUUGACGUAUUAUUGUGGGGUGUAACAACUUAGUCUGCCGUUUCCCAGUCCACCCGAGGGGACGAUGCCCUUAGAAGAAGAUCCCCCUCGUUGUUGGACUGUAGAAGAAGGCCAGCAAUCUUAUUGGAUUCUCCUCUGGGGGUACGCUGCUCUGUUAAUAAUCUUGCUGAUGAGGCCCUCUUCGGGACGGAACUCCGAUUGAGGGGAAAAAGCGCGACGUGCCCUUUUUUAGAGCCUAUGGAUCUCCGGGUAGAGUUAGAAUCUUUGAAUAUCCUGGCCAGUUGUCUGUAAACAUGCUAGUGAAAAAAUAACAAGGGAGUAAAGCAGUUUUUCCUCAUCGCGGGAUGUGUAGGCGACAUUUUGAGAUUUGGUAUGUUCCUACUCUUUCGAGGCAUGAGCCUUGAUACAGACCCCCGCUGUGUCUUGUCAGGCUUGGUCGAAGAUGUGGUUUGCUUACCCUUUAAUACCUCCGAGGGUGGGGGCAUUGAUGCCGGCGACGCGCCAGAUGGUGAAGAAUUUCCUCUUGUCAUGUAUUGCUUUUUGUCGACUUAUUUUAGUCCUGCCCUUUGCAAGGGGUUUCAUGCUUUUGGAGAAAUACGGUCGAUGCUAUCUUUGGGUGGUGUGCCAGGGGUCAUCUGAAUAAGAUGCCCGUGCUUUGCGCGCCCUCUGAUAGUUUAGAGCUCGAAGUCCCGGCCCGAGCUCAGACGAGCUAUAUCAAGAGAAUAGUCUUUGUGGCGAUUUGUCAUUUAGAAUUCGCCAAGGAUUCGGGAUGCAGGGGUGAUUUGGUCUGUUACAUCGGACCGCCCCACUGACUUUGGUCGGACAUUGUUGUUGCAUGUGACCGAACCACUUGAAUUCAUGAACACAUGUUUUAUUCAAAAUAGAUCAAAUGAGGGAGAGGGUUACCAAUGCAUCAGUGUGAUGCUGAGGUAGAGUCUCUGUGCCCUUUUCCCUGGUUGUAAGGGCGUCCUCCGAAAUAUUUCCCUGGACCCAUUUUUUCCUGAUGACAAACAUUUUUACUUCCCAUUUUAUGAGUCCCCGGAGGGUGUCAUCGCUCCUUCAUUGUCGUGGUAAUACGUCGUGGUUUGUUCGCUUCAUCCUCCUCAAUUUCCCUCCUCCCUUGGGGCUGGACUCGAGCGAUGGUACUCGAUGGUGACUUUUAUUGAGUAGCACGACUAUCGUCCCUCUGAGCUGGUGGCCAUUUUUGACCCCGUGGACGCGUGCGCCCUACGGUCCCCAUGCCGGGUUGUGGUUCCUUUGAAAUGGUCUUGGUCGAAUAGGCCUGAGUCAUUUGGCGUCCCUGGUUUCGCUUAUGGUGAUCAUGAUAUUUGGUAUAUCAAUGCUUAAAUUGUACUCCACUAAUCGGGGUUCCUCUACCGGUUGUGCCUCGUCAGAUCCGACUCCAUUGGAGGUUCCUCGAGGACGUUUCCCUCAAACUAUUUCCCUACCGUUGCGAGGCAGGUUGCAUCUUGUGGCGUUCCUCCCAUUCGCGGCGCAUGGAUGUUACCUCCAUCUGUUUGGCACUAGUUUCUUUGCUAGGAGCCUGCUUGGGUAUACCAGGCCCGUAGAGGCUCCUCGACGGUUGUCCGUGGCCCUGAUUUGUGGCAGGUGUCGGGUACGGGCAUCCGAUCAGGUCUUGGCUGGGUAUCUGAUUAAGCUUCAUUUAAAAUGACCCGGAGUCAUUGGGCAUGCUUCGUUUAAACUUUGGGCAAAGGCCUGGGUUUCCCAGUCAUCUGAAAUCGGGAGCGAUCUCAUUUGUCCUAUCAUGGAAUGAGGCGCGACUCCCUGUGGUGUUUCAUUCUCUCUUUGUUCGGCCUCUGAUGUGUCGGGCUCUUCCGUUGCUGCUUUGAUGGCGUCGACAUGUGCUUCUUCGGAAAAAUCUGCUGGCGCGGUAAGUGGGUUCGUGAGAUCAGGCGCUAGGCUGUGGCGCCACAUCAUGGUUUCUCUUGAGAGUGUUUCCCCGAACUUUUACAAUGUAACGGGCUUGAACUCAUCAUCUUGUAGGUCCCUGUCGUUUUCCGCACACGUGUAAGUGAUGGUGCGCUCGUCGGAAUCCAAGGUCCUGACGCACCUAUGGAGUUCCGGCAUUUCGUAUUUCCGUGAAGCGGGUUCCAAAACUACUUCCCCGAGAGAUAACUGUUGCAUGAGCCUCUAUGAACUUGACUUGAUUCUCUUGGAGAGAUCCUCCAACAUCUUUGUUGUGGCGGGGCCUGUUAUUGAUCCGUUGUUAUUUGAUCUUUUGGGUACUCGUUAGGCUCAGGGAACCGUUUCCGGCGGUACUGUGCUGGGGAUCCCCGAAUGGCUCUGCAACUGAGCGAUAGCCAACUGCUGUGCCUGCAAUAUUUCGAGAAUGUUAUGAAGACUAACUUCUUGUUCUUCUCGGGCUGGGGUUUUUUGAGCUUCCUAUUGGUCGAUGUGUCGUAUGCUCCUAUUGAUGUGAGAAGUUUCGCCGACUUGCUGUGCGUUCUGUGAGUCCGCAUCCGCUAGAAUUGAUCCGGACGCAUUAUCGGGAUUCUACAGUGGUGCUCCGACGGCCGGGACAACCAAGCCAUUUUCCCCAUGAUUUUCGAGGUUGUCGUUCUCGACUCCGUUUACCGAACCAGGCAUUUUGACCUGAAAUCAAAGGAUCUUGGGCAAGAAAAAGUGUGAAAGAUAAUGUGCGCUUGUGCAAUGAAACUAGCAAGAAAAUAAUCACUAUUAUUUUUAUCCCCAUGGUGGGUGCCAAACUAUUUACCGUGAAAAUGGUACAACAAUUAAAUUUGUAAAUGGGAUUCUAAUAAUACGUGAUCAAUUCUUGAGCUAGUUGUUAGAGCAGUUGAUGCUAAUAAUAUGGAGUUUAAGAUUAAAUGCGAGUUGAAACAAGGUAGCAAUCGAACCGAAGGUCCUUCUGCCUGGGUACAGGCCGGGUCGAUGGGGGACCUCGGGGUCAAGCUCGAACUAUCAAGGGUAGUCAGGGAUGGGAUAACAGUUGAGGAUAUAAUUAAACAAGGCUCUUUAUGGCUAAUACUAAGUUAUAUGAUGAAGAACAAGUAAGAAAGCGAUGAAUAUCAAGGUGACCUUGGGCCAGUGAGACGAACAAGUUUAGAAAGAAAAGAGAGAGAAGUAUUAUUGCACUUGUGGAGAAAUGGAGCAACAUCAGCCCGUUACAAGGUAGCAUGAGUCCCCUUUAUAUAGGAGGGGAACUCGGCUACAAGCACAUGGGUAUUAAAUACAAAGUAAGGAGAUGGGACGGCUUGACGCGAUGCCUCAACGUAGGCUCUGGAUAGGUCGGCCCUGUCGACUUUGUCGUAUGCCUUGGGAGCUUCCCCUUCUGUCCUAGCUUCGAUCUCCAUCUUCUUUGAGUCGGGCCUCGACGAGCCCCGAGUUCGGGAACUCGGCCUUGGUUUCCCGUCCUCGGGGUCUUGAGGCGUUCUUCCGAAAUGACUUGAUAGCGAGAAAUCAAGUCCUCUGAUUUUGCCGCGUACAAUUUAAUAUUCAACAUUGCAAUCCAGUUUAUAAGGUCGUUUAUUUAUAUUUUGAUACUUAACAUUGGAAAAUUAUCUGCAUUGCAGUAUUUAGAAAUUCAGUUUGCAUUUUCUUUAUUUGAAUAAAAAAGAUUUGUCGCUCUAGCUUAUCUUAAUGAAUAAUGAAUUCGUGACAUCUUUACUAUCUUUGGCUUCACCAUUACAAAAUUCGAGUUCAGAGCAUUCUCGUGUAUCCACCAGCUCUAUCUUUGUAAUAUAGAAGUUCAAGAUAUUUAGAACCAUAUUUCUAUAACAAAAUAGAGAAGAAAUCUAAUGGAAAUUAUUUUCCCACCAGCCCUUUUCCCACUGAGCGUCUCCCCUGGGAAUGUCGUGGGAAUAUUCAAAUUUCCCACGGAUUUCCCACCGAUAUGUCCGUGGGAAAAGUCUGUGUUUCUAGUAGCGUUAUUCUCUGUUAAUACAAGCAAGCUUUCAUUCAAUUCUCUCGUGGAAAAUUAUGAUCUUGAUAUUGACUUUCCCGCUCGGCACUAAUGGUCUAGUCUAGCAUGUAAAGGAGGCCUUUGGUUGGCGAAAGGUAAUCACACAAAAGUUGGUCGCUUUGUCUUAUGCCACCCUUACAAGACAUCUCAGAAAGGCGCCAUGUGACUAGGAGGUUACGAGUUCGAGCCGUGGAAACUGCCUCUUGCAAAAAUAUAGGGUAAGGCUGCGUACAAUAGACCCUUGUGGUCUGGCCCUUCCCCGGAUCCCGCGCAUAGCGAGAGCUUAGUGCACCGUGCUGCCUUUUUUACAAAAUUAGUGAAAAAUUAUUGAUUAUAUAUGGGUAUCAGUUGGAUAAUUAGAUUACUUAUUGUAACUAUCAAGCCACAUUGGAUUAUGACCGGACUUUAUGAAAUAAAUAUGGGUUUUUUUCAUUCCUAUACACUAUUAGAAACUUUAUUAUCCUAAAUGUUCAUGUUUAGUUAAUUACCCGGCAUAAACAAGUUUUGUUUACAAAAAAUAUACAAUCUACUUUAAAAGACUUCCAAUCCAUUAUUUGUACCUUCAAUCAAGGGAUUUAGUUAUAUCAUUUUCUUUUUUUUCUCUCCUCUUCUCUCCGGAUUCUCUCUUGAUAUCCCUGCUUCCUCUCUGGCCGACCUUAAACUAAAAAUAUUAUGCUGACCGACCCAACAUGUAUUCCAGUAUUCGAAAUAUGAACAAUGACGCAAUCCAAUUGGCUUUUCAUCCCUCUGUUCCUGCACUUCCCACUAAAAUUUAAUCAAUUGAUUGUAAUUUAUGGAAGCCAAAUCACUACUGAGGAAUAGCUAACACACAAUCUAAAGAAUGAUAAAUCACAUAUAACACAUGUUACUACCAAACCAGUCUAGAUAUGUAUUCCACUUAUUCUCUUCGGAGCAAAAUGAGAGUAAGCUAGCUUUUUACUGGACGAACUCCAUAGUUUCAUAAAGUAUGUUGACACAAUCUCAUUAUAUGCUUAGUAUGUUUUGUUUGGACAAUACAUGAUGUUAGGCUAGAAACCCGUGUUUUAGCCAUAGUAUUACAUUCCAAUUACUGCAGUUUUACAUAUGUUUGAGCUCAAAUGAUAGUGAAUUACACUUAGUAUAUGUUUUAUACCUUGCAGGAAGUGAUCAUGAGCUCAAAAGUUAAUUUGGAGCUAAAUUGAUCAAUCCAGAGCUUUGAAAUCUGAGUAAAAGCCCAAUAUAUUAAGCAGGGAUCGUGUUCGGAGGUCGUGUACCAAGUCUGGAUGUUAAAAGAGGACAAAACAAGUUCACUCUAAGGAAAUUACAC
This 21093-nucleotide long non-coding RNA is filed under the name Nicotiana tabacum (common tobacco). RNAcentral describes it as "long non-coding RNA (NTAB_LNC001360)". Lineage: Eukaryota; Viridiplantae; Streptophyta; Magnoliopsida; Solanales; Solanaceae. The record is from RNAcentral.